RNAcentral lists this ribosomal RNA (253 nucleotides) under uncultured bacterium. RNAcentral's name for it is "partial 16S ribosomal RNA". It matches the Rfam family "Bacterial small subunit ribosomal RNA", at positions 524 to 776 of the family's 1533-position model. The record is from RNAcentral.
UACGUAGGGUGCAAGCGUUAAUCGGAAUUACUGGGCGUAAAGAGUUCGUAGGCGGUUUGUCGCGUCGUUUGUGAAAACCAGCAGCUCAACUGCUGGCUUGCAGGCGAUACGGGCAGACUUGAGUACUGCAGGGGAGACUGGAAUUCCUGGUGUAGCGGUGAAAUGCGCAGAUAUCAGGAGGAACACCGGUGGCGAAGGCGGGUCUCUGGGCAGUAACUGACGCUGAGGAACGAAAGCGUGGGUAGCGAACAGG